UAUGAUUUUUGGUAUAAAUCUAAAAGAAAAACCUUUGUAUCUCGCUGAUAUUGAUCCAGUCCAGAGUUAGCGGAUAGAAGCUUUGGCUAUGCAGAUCUUUAGCACAGGACUGUCUCAGAUGGCUGGAACAAUCUAGACCAUAAAAAGGAACUAUUUUGCUUGUAUAUUUACUAUAUCUUUGUGCUUAUUUCAGAUUUUAUACAGACUUGUAAUGCGGCUUCUGAUAUGUCAGUUGUAUUCGUACUGUUCAUGUUCUCUCCUUUUGAACUUUUGUUGUGGACGUCUUCUUUUGUGAACGUUUGUUGUGAUGGUAUUUCUCACCGUUGUUCAGCAUGGGCCCUCUCUCUGCAGCUCUGAUCCUUGUGAGGGGUUUUAAGAAAAAAAAAAGCGUUGGGAUUUUGAAACGUCUUUAAGAGGUGUGAUCUGUGGACGUGGAACACAUGUAUCAUUGUUAUUGCUCAUGUUGAAGUUUGCACUGAUCUGAACAAAAUUGAUGUUUUGGUUUUAAGCAGUAGUUCUUAUUUUGGCGAAGAUGUUAUUUGCGAUGACGCAAAGACGUUGUAUUUUCAGCAUGUUACGCAUGUGAGGACUUUGAACUGAAUGCAGUAUAUUUUGUGAAUUACUAGAUUCAAAUGACCAAAUAUUUUGAGAUGAAGAAAGAUAUCUAAAUAUAGCUCAGGAAUGCUUUUUUUCACCAUAUCGUGAGUGGUUUUAUGCCCAUCUCUUGCCUCUUGACUGCCAGAUCCGGGCAAAAUGUUAUAAUGUUUUAACCGAAAUCCAAAAGGCACUCUUCUCUGUGUUGUUAUCUGUGUAGCUUUCUAUUCCACUUCCGGAGGUUGGUAAUAGAAAGCAAUAACAAUGUUAUCUGUGCGCCAUGUCCACAAUUUGUUUUGUUUCGUUUUUGCCAUGUAUUUUUGCAUUCAUCCAGGUCAUUUUAGAGUUUUGAGUUCAACAUUCUUACUUUUUUUUUUUUUUGUUGUUGUUGUUGUGCAUUGUUCAAUGUGGUCCAAGUAGGCGAGAAGAGAGGAUGAUUGACACAAACAGAGAUGUAAGGUGUGGUGACAUUAGUGGCAUUUAGUGGGAAAAAGGGUCUGUUAUCAAUGGUGUAGCGAUGUAUGAAGCACAAAAGUCACUUUCAAACCAAGCGGUUUUCUGUUGGUCAGUGCGGCGAAUCUGUGAGACCAACGGCAAAAUCUACUUUUGCUGAAAAUUCCCUAUUGAAAUGACUGGAUUUAGCCCAUGAAAAUUAGCCAAACCUUGUAAAUGUGACCGCACCUUUAUAAACUUCUAUAUUUAAGCUUUGAUAAAUCUGGUCCCCUGUGUACAGAAGGCAAAACAAGAUUGGUCUUUCACCCCUGCAGCUGCAGUUUCUUUGUUUUGUUUUUUAACAUCGUUGUUCUUUAGGGGUGUUAGCAUCUGUUAUAAAAGAACAUGAUGUUUAAGAGUGAAGCAGGCAGAGAUGUUGAGCAUGUCUUGCUGCAUCCUGUUUCUGCUUAAAAAAAAGUCUCUAUUUAUAUAACUAACAUUUUUUUUUUUCAUCUCUCGUUCUGGCUUCUCAGUUACCUCUGAAGUUUUUCAUGAAUUUUAACAGUGGCAUCACAUUUUAAGAGAUGAAACGGUCUUUCAUUGGUUUGUUUCUGCCUCAGACGACAGUAGUCUGUUCCCGUCACUCAUUCUCUCUCUCUGGGAGGAGAUUUUAUCUUCUCCUGCCUUAUUCUUGCUCUUGACCACUUGCUGUCCCUCUUGAGUGUACUGUGAUAAUUUUUUUAAUUUUUUAAUUUUCCAUUUCCAGGCCCUGUGCUCAAAUGGCAAAAAAGGUGUUUAUUGGCUUUUUAAUAUAGUCUUCAUAAUAAGAUAUUAGUAGUUUUUUUUCUGUUUAUAGAAGGAAUCCUUUUUUUCUUUUUAUGUUUUUGUUGUCUUUUUUUGUCACCAUUUAAAAAAAAAUGUAC
Molecule: long non-coding RNA, 1949 nt
Organism: Cyprinus carpio (common carp)
Lineage: Eukaryota; Metazoa; Chordata; Actinopteri; Cypriniformes; Cyprinidae
Source: Ensembl